Procambarus clarkii (red swamp crayfish) is the source of this 460-nucleotide non-coding RNA. Lineage: Eukaryota; Metazoa; Arthropoda; Malacostraca; Decapoda; Cambaridae. The record is from RefSeq and is a predicted model, not a curated record.
GACACGCCUCCUUCCAUGUAUGGUACUAGUACGUUGUUCAUCAACAAUGUGGGUGCGGUAGCGGGCAUUUUGGCGCCUGCGGUUAUAGGCUUCCUCAUGCAGCACAAUCCAUCCCCAGGCACCUGGAAGGCUGUCUUUGUUGUUACAACUGCCAUUGCCUUCAUUAGUGCCUCCCUAUGUACAGUACUUGGUCUGAUCAAACUGCAAUCCUGGAAUGACCCCAAGGCUCAAGACAUGGAGCGAAGCCCUCAGCAACCACUUGCACCACAUCAACUUUCAGGUGAAGGGUAACACUAGAAGAAAUUUGAAGAGUCUACAAUACACAAAAUGUGUUCAUUUAACAUUAUAUAACCCUUUCCACUACCGCCCACAAGAUGGGUAUGGGGUGCAUAAUAAAUGAAGUAAACUAAAACUAAAAACAUUAUAUAUUGUAUGAAUACAAUACGCCUUUUACAUACAA